Molecule: long non-coding RNA, 3615 nt
Filed under: Arabidopsis thaliana (thale cress)
Lineage: Eukaryota; Viridiplantae; Streptophyta; Magnoliopsida; Brassicales; Brassicaceae
Description: long non-coding RNA (ATHA_LNC000270)
Source: RNAcentral
CCGGCCUUGAGUCUCUCGCGCCUAAGCCAAGUCCUUCCCACUAUCACCAUUGGUUCCUGAAAGUCAUAGAGCCAUAAGUAAUUUCAUUUACUUAGUCAUAUGCAAGUCCAUGCAAUGCUCCAUAGUCCUUACACUACUCGGAUCCGCGGAGAGGAUUCGGAGAAGGGAAGAUCGCGCAUAAGUCCGGCCGAUUCUCGGUAGGUCAAUUAAGACCCGCCGGUCCUCCGCCGAGCCGCGUCUCCGCCCCAGCCGAUCCCUUGCCCGGACCGAGGCUUGUGUAGGUUGCACAUGACCCGAUUCUACCCAGCCCAUUAGUCGUUCCUUUCAAGGAAUCCCGACUCAUUUAACGCAUUCUAGAAUCCUUAGACUCGAGGUCUAGGAUUCCUUACCUUCCUUCACGAUGUUCGGUCGAUCCGACCCUUCUUCUUCCUUGCCGGCCACAGUCCGCCUACCGAUUUCCUCCGAUGAUUUAUUCUCCCGAAAGGGAGAGAGUUUAAUGGUGAGUUUCCGGUAUUUUCCGUGUGUUCUGCUGCCUCUAAAGGUCUUGGGCGCCCUCCCUUAUAUAAGGAGCGAAUUGAUGCUUCCCGAAGGAUCACCUCCGUUCCUUGCACCUUUCCGAAGAGUUGCAUCUCUCGGUCCGUAACUGCUCGCCCUUAUCCACCCUUUGGGCGAGCACCCGUUCGACCGUAACCGCCCAAGUAACCGUCCGGGUAACCGCCCAGCUGGUCAGACAGUCGACCAGCUGCCUCGAGCUCAACCGUCACUCGCCCAGCUGCUCGAGCUGGACUGUCACUCAACCCGAGUAACCGUCACUCCUUCCAGCUGAGCUUGAGCUUCGGACGAGCUGACCCAGCUGAUUCCUUUACGAUCCUAGCUUAGCCCGCAUGAUUUCCCUUUGUCCGAGCUUAUGGCCAACUCCUUCCCACUUGUCCGAGACUCCACCUUCUUUUCUCGGACCAAGUCCCAGCCAACGAUCCUAUUGAGGAUCGCGGGCGUUACAAGUCUCCCCUUUGAAUUGGAUUCGACAAAUCGAAUCCAAGUUGAUCUUUACCCAUCUCCUUGAACCACUCCGGAAAAUUGGCCUUCAUCUUAGUCUCGGUUUCCCAAGUGUAUUCUUCACGGCCUCCACAAUUCCACAAGAUUUUUAACAAAUCCAUUGAUUUCCCCCGAGUCCCUUUCUUCAUUUGGUCCAUGAUCCGUACCGGCCAUGCUUCCACCGUCAUGUUCUCCUUUAACCCAGGAGGUACAUCUUCCAUGCUUUCUUCUUGUUCACUUAAGCACUUCCGUAGUUGUGAUACAUGAAAGACAUUGUGAAACGCGUCUAGUUUUGGAGGAAGGUCAAGUUUGUAUGCCACCGCCCCUACUCGUUCGAUCACUUUGUACGGGCCAACGUACCUUGGCCUUAACUUUUUCCUUGAUGUGAAUCGCCCUGCCCCUUUGUAGGUCAUCGCCUUUAAAUACACCAAGUCUCCCACUUGGAAUUCUAAUUCCUUUCGACGCUUGUUGGCGUAACUUUUCUGACGAUCUUGGGCUUCCUUUAACUUGAUUUUUAAGAACUUCAUUUUCUUCGUGGUUUCAUCCACGACCGCAGGUCCGAACAACCGACGUUCGCCCACUGGCGUCCAACACAACGGUGUUCUACCAGCUCGGCCAUACAACGCCUCAUAGGGAGACAUACCAAUACUAGCUUGAAAACUGUUAUUGUACGCAAAUUCUACUAACCUUAGAUAUUUCUCCCAGUUUCCUCCCCAAUCCAAGACGCAUGCCCUCAACAUGUCCUCGAGGGUUUGAAUCGUUCGUUCGGACUGUCCGUCCGUCUGUGGGUGAUAUGCAGUACUUAGAUUCACUCGAGUCCCUAAGACCUUUUGAAAAGGCUUCCAAAAUUUUGACGUGAACCUUGUGUCUCGGUCCGACACUAUACUAACCGGAAUCCCAUGUAAUCGCACGAUCUCGUCUAUGUACUUCUCGGCAAUGAUUUCGGCUGCAUCCUUAUCCGAGAUUGCCAUGAAGUGCGCAGACUUAGUCAAUCGGUCUACUACAACCCAUACCGCAUUGUGUUUGGACUUGAUCCCCGUCGGCAGUCCCGUGACGAAGUCCAUCAUUAUAUGGUCCCACUUCCAUUCCGGUAUAGGUAGGUUUUGUAACAUUCCACUUGGUACUUGAUGCUCUUCCUUGGCUACCCACCUGGCCACAUCUUUCUUCAUUCCUACCCAAUGGUAGUAUCUUUUAAGGUCGCGAUACAUCUUGUUCGACCCAGGAUGGAUCGAGAACUUCGAUUGAUGCGCUUCUUUUAGGAUUUCCUCCUUCAACGCCUUAUCGUUCGGCCCACAUACUCGACCGUUCACCACGAUAGUACCAUUGUUCGAGCUUUGGUACUCGGUUUUAUUGUUUUGUGCCCACCCUUUUAUUUCUUCAUCUCGUUCUUGAGCCGACCGGAUCCUACUAAGUAGGUCGGCUUGAUUGGCGGCUCUCAACCCUAAGGGUUCAACUUCCUUAGACAAAGCAUUCAAAUGCAAUGUCCCCAUCAUGUUAACCAAAUUCACUUGGUUCCUUUCCGCUUCCACUACCGUGCGCAGCCUGCUCAAAGCAUCUACAACUUGGUUGGCCUUGCCCGGAUGGUACGCUAUGUUCAAGUCGUAAUCCGCCACAAGUUUUAUCCACCUUCUUUGCCUUAGAUUUAACUCCGGCUGGGUGAAUAUGUAUUUUAGGCUCUUGUGGUCAGUAAAGAUUUGAACCUUGGCACCAUACAAAUAUGAUCGCCAAAUCUUCAACGCAAAUACUACCGCGGCCAUUUCCAAAUCAUUCGUAGGGUAGUUCUUCUCGUGUUUCCGCAAUUGCCUCGAGGCGUAUGCGAUAACACUCCCCUUUUGGAUCAAUACGCAUCCUAGUCCUACUAUGGAUGCGUCCGUGUAGACCGUAUAGGGCUCACCUUCCUCCGGUAAGACCAACACCGGUGCAUUAGUCAACAUGGCCUUUAACUCCAGGAAGCUUCUCUCGCAUUCCUCCGACCAGUUGAAUGCGGUGUCUUUUCCGGUCAAUUGAGUCAUGGGUUGGGCCAUGCUCGCAAAUCUCUCGACCCAAGUCACUAAGUGAAUGGACCCUAACCAUUUAUGAGGUUCAUUCCCUAGUGUAAUCCGUUUCAUACGAUUCUGUGAUUCAAUAUAUGAGACGAAUAGAGUAAACAAACAAUCAGAUACUUUAUUAAUUAAGUAAAGGAUUCGAUACAACUUAUGAGUUUGCAUAUAAGCUAUUACAAGUAAUAUAAUUGAUCCCUAGACUAUCCGAAACUAUCACCACCCAUCAUCCCGGCCUUGAGUCUCUCGCGCCUAAGCCAAGUCCUUCCCACGAUCACCAUUGGUUCCUGAAAGUCAUAGAGCCAUAAGUAAUCUCAUUUACUUAGUCAUAUGCAAGUCCAUGCAAUGCUCCAUAGUCCUUACACUACUCGGAUCCGCGGAGAGGAUUUGGAGAGGGGAAGAUCGCGCAUAAGUCCAGCCGAUUCUCGGUAGGUCAAUUAAGACCCUCCGGUCCUCCACCGAGCCGCGUCCCCGCCCUAGCCGAUCCCUUGCCCGGACUGAGUCUUGUGUAGGUUGCACAUGACCCGAUUCUACCCAGCCC